RNAcentral lists this ribosomal RNA (246 nucleotides) under uncultured bacterium. RNAcentral's name for it is "partial 16S ribosomal RNA". It matches the Rfam family "Bacterial small subunit ribosomal RNA", at positions 15 to 244 of the family's 1533-position model. The record is from RNAcentral.
GAUCCUGGCUCAGGACGAACGCUGGCGGCGUGCUUAACACAUGCAAGUCGAACGGGAUUUAGUAAACAGAAGCCUCGGUGGAAGAUUACUAAUGAGAGUGGCGAACGGGUGAGUAACGCGUGAGCAACCUGCCUAUGACAGUGGGAUAGCCUCGGGAAACCGGGAUUAAUACCGCAUAAAAUCGUAGAAACACAUGUUUUAACGGUCAAAGAUUUAUCGGUCAUAGAUGGGCUCGCGUCUGAUUAG